This 816-nucleotide ribosomal RNA is filed under the name Coelastrella oocystiformis. RNAcentral describes it as "SSU rRNA". It matches the Rfam family "Eukaryotic small subunit ribosomal RNA", at positions 878 to 1240 of the family's 1831-position model. Lineage: Eukaryota; Viridiplantae; Chlorophyta; Chlorophyceae; Sphaeropleales; Scenedesmaceae. The record is from RNAcentral.
GAAGUCGGGGGCAUUCGUAUUUCAUUGUCAGAGGUGAAAUUCUUGGAUUUAUGAAAGACGAACUACUGCGAAAGCAUUUGCCAAGGAUGUUUUCAUUAAUCAAGAACGAAAGUUGGGGGCUCGAAGACGAUUAGAUACCGUCGUAGUCUCAACCAUAAACGAUGCCGACUAGGGAUUGGCGAAUGUUUUUUUAAUGACUUCGCCAGCACCUUAUGAGAAAUCAAAGUUUUUGGGUUCCGGGGGGAGUAUGGUCGCAAGGCUGAAACUUAAAGGAAUUGACGGAAGGGCACCACCAGGCGUUAACAAAGCUGAAAGCUCUAGCGCCAGUGAGGGGGAAACCUCUUGCUAGUCAACACAAUUCAAUUGUGUUGGCAACACCUUCAAAUUGCUGGAAAAUUCUAAAGCCAUUGCAUACCAAGGUGUGAAGGAAACUUCAUGCUGGCCAGGGCAAUGACCUCGGGUAUGGUGACAACUGCAAUGGAUGACGAGAUUUUCAGUCUCUGAAAUGGACAACCAGCAGCCAAGUCCUAAACAUGAUGUAAUAUCAUGCAUGGAUGCAGUUCACAGACUAAAUGGAGGUGGGCUGUCGAAUAAAUACCGACGGCUUAAGAUAUAGUCGGCCCUUAUCGAAAGAUAACCAGUAAGAGGAAACCAUGUUUAUAGUGGUGGAGAGCUUACUGGGCAUCAGGUAGUACUUGGCAGUGUGAGCUGUCAAGGGCUCCACCAUGGUGGAGCCUCUGAUGCGGAACUAGCGGGAGCCUGCGGCUUAAUUUGACUCAACACGGGAAAACUUACCAGUCCAGACAUAGUGAGGAU